This is a long non-coding RNA of Drosophila obscura, 413 nucleotides long. RefSeq lists it as uncharacterized. The record is from RefSeq and is a predicted model, not a curated record. NCBI's taxonomy places the organism in Eukaryota, Metazoa, Arthropoda, Insecta, Diptera, Drosophilidae. The transcript is spliced from 3 exons.
UGUUCAUUAAUUUGCCAAUUGACGACAAGCAUUUCAUUUCGCUUGGAGUGGCAGUGCCCCCUACAAUUUGAUUUGCCAACAAGUAAAUUAUGUUGCCAAAAAAUAGCAACAAAAAUCUAAAAACCAAGACUUGCAACCUUGCGCGCCCCGUGAAUCAUUAACCAUAAAUUGUGAGCCUGUUCAGUGCCUCGAUAUGGUCACGCCAGCACGGAGCAUCGAGCAUCAUCCACAUGACCUCAAUUGUCGUGCGCUAGUCGCGACUUUUUGGCGUGAUUUUGUGCUGACAACCUUGGCCUUAGAACGAACCAUUAUAAUGGAACAGCAACCGAUAUACGGACUGCUAAACAUCUGUUAACAGGCGAAACACAGCGCCCAACCCCAACCCCAGCCCCAACCAACACUAACACACACAC